Eutrema salsugineum is the source of this 366-nucleotide long non-coding RNA. RefSeq lists it as uncharacterized. NCBI's taxonomy places the organism in Eukaryota, Viridiplantae, Streptophyta, Magnoliopsida, Brassicales, Brassicaceae. The transcript has 3 exons. The record is from RefSeq and is a predicted model, not a curated record.
CCGAAUUACCCAAUCUGAUUUCACCAAAAGCUUCUUCCUCAUAGUGAUCGGUGGUCGCCGGAGCCGUACAACUGUAAAAUUCACGAUUCGCUGGGACGAAUCACCGAGACAAGGAGGAGUCUCCGACGAGACGAGGAUUUUGGAACAAACUAAACGUGUUUGCUCCAUGGUUGCCUCCUUGGUUUCUCUGUUUAAUGGGCUUUGAGCCUUGAGGAAUGAUAUGUUAAUGCUUUCAGGCAACGUUUAUAGUCAUGCAUGCUCUUCUUUGUAAUGCGACCUGAAGUUGACGGGAGAGCUCAUUCGCGUGCAAUAUAUUGGCUAGUUUCGAUUGUCCAUAAGCUCUUUUAUCCGAGUAACUGAAAGAAG